UACGUAGGGAGCAAGCGUUGUUCGGAUUUACUGGGCGUAAGGGGCGCGUAGGCGGCAAUUCAAGUCAUCUGUGAAAUCUCCGGGCUUAACUCGGAACUGUCAGAUGAUACUGCUUUGCUAGAGUGCAGAAGGGGCAAUCGGAAUUCUUGGUGUAGCGGUGAAAUGCGUAGAUAUCAAGAGGAACACCUGAGGUGAAGACGGGUUGCUGGGCUGACACUGACGCUGAGGCGCGAAAGCCAGGGGAGCAAACGGG
RNAcentral lists this ribosomal RNA (253 nucleotides) under uncultured bacterium. RNAcentral describes it as "partial 16S ribosomal RNA". It matches the Rfam family "Bacterial small subunit ribosomal RNA", at positions 524 to 776 of the family's 1533-position model. The record is from RNAcentral.